UUGCAGAGAUCUCUUUGUGAUGGUCAGGCAA
Molecule: non-coding RNA, 31 nt
Filed under: Rattus norvegicus (Norway rat)
Lineage: Eukaryota; Metazoa; Chordata; Mammalia; Rodentia; Muridae
Source: RNAcentral